CCUACGGGUGGCAGCAGUGGGGAAUAUUGCGCAAUGGGCGAAAGCCUGACGCAGCGACGCCGCGUGAGGGAUGAAGGUCUUCGGAUCGUAAACCUCUGUCAGCGGGGAAGAACGGUCACUGUGCUAAUCAGCAGUGAAUUGACGGUACCUGCAAAGGAAGCACCGGCUAACUCCGUGCCAGCAGCCGCGGUAAUACGGAGGGUGCGAGCGUUAAUCGGAAUUACUGGGCGUAAAGCGCUCGUAGGCGGUAUGUCAAGUCAAGGGUGAAAUCCCCGGGCUCAACGUGGGAACUGCCUUUGAAACGGGCAAACUGGAGUGUGUGAGAGGAGAGUGGAAUUCCAGGUGUAGGGGUGAAAUGCGUAGAUAUGUGGAGGAACAUCAGUGGCGAAGGCGACUAUCUGGCACAUAACUGACGCUGAGGAGCGAAAGCGUGGGUAGCAAACAGGAUUAGAUACCCCAGUAGUC
Molecule: ribosomal RNA, 465 nt
Filed under: uncultured bacterium
Lineage: Bacteria
Description: partial 16S ribosomal RNA
Rfam family: Bacterial small subunit ribosomal RNA
Source: RNAcentral